AAGUCGUAACAAGGUUUCCGUAGGUGAACCUGCGGAAGGAUCAUUAUUGAAAUCCUCAGGAUGUUGCUGGCCCUUUGCGGGGCAAUGUGCACUCCACCUCUUCAACUCACCUGUGAACUUUUUGUAGGCCAGAUGUAACAGUCUGUGUCUAUGUUAUUUUUACACACACAUAACAAAGUCUAUCAGAAUGUCUGUUAAAGACCUUUAUUGGUCAAAACUUUAAUACAACUUUCAACAAUGGAUCUCUUGGUUCUCGUAUCGAUGAAGAACGCAGCGAAUUGCGAUAUGUAAUGUGAAUUGCAGAAUUCAGUGAAUCAUCGAAUCUUUGAACGCACCUUGCGCCCUUUGGUAUUCCGAAGGGCAUGCCUGUUUGAGUGUCAUUAAAUUCUCAACUUUAAAGAGAGUUUGAAAAACCUCUUUUUGAAGCUUGGACUGUGGAGGGCUUGCCGGCAUUAAUAAUGNCAGCUCCUCUUAAAUGCAUUAGCAGAACCUCUUUCUUUUUAAAAGAAAAGGACUAGCUUCAGUUUGAUAAUCCUAUCUAUGCUGUUGCUGUUGACCUUUGUAUGUGUUCAGCUUCCAAUGGUCUUUUGGACUGUCUCUAUUGAGGCAUACACUUUUAAGCUUGACCUCAAAUCAGGUAGGACUACCCGCUGAACUUAAGCAUAUCAAUAAGCGGAGGAAAAGAAACUAACAAGGAUUCCCCUAGUAACUGCGAGUGAAGAGGGAAAAGCUCAAAUUUAAAAUCUGGCUGUUCUAGUUAGCAGUCCGAGUCGUAGUUUAGAGAAGUGCUAUCCGCGCUGGCCUGUGCAUAAGUUUCUUGGAAAAGAACAUCAUAGAGGGUGACAAUCCCGUCUUUGGCACAGAUCACCAGGGCUUUUGUGAUGCGCUCUCAACGAGUCGUGUUGUUUGGGAAUGCAGCACUAAAUGGGUGGUAAAUUCCAUCUAAAGCUAAAUAUUGGCGAGAGACCGAUAGCGAACAAGUACCGUGAGGGAAAGAUGAAAAGAACUUUGAAAAGAGAGUUAAACAGUACGUGAAAUUGUUGAAAGGGAAACGCUUGAAGUCAGUCGUGUCCUGCAGGGAUCAAGUUGCCCUUUGGGUGAUCGCAUUUCCUGCUGGAUGGGUCAGCAUCAAUUUUGACCGCUGGAUAAAGGCUUAGGGAAUGUGGCAUCUUCGGAUGUGUUAUAGACCUGGGUUGUAUACAGUGGUUGGGAUUGAGGAACUCAGUGUGCCUUCAUGGUCGCACUCAGGAUGCUGGCAUAAUGGCUUUAAUCGACC
This 1276-nucleotide ribosomal RNA is filed under the name uncultured fungus. RNAcentral's name for it is "eukaryotic LSU rRNA". The stretch from base 624 to 1276 matches the Rfam family "Eukaryotic large subunit ribosomal RNA", at positions 1 to 649 of the family's 3401-position model. The record is from RNAcentral. Lineage: Eukaryota; Fungi.